GAUGAACGCUAGCUACAGGCUUAACACAUGCAAGUCGAGGGGUAACGAGAGGAAAGCUUGCUUUCCUUGUCGACGACCGGCGCACGGGUGAGUAACGCGUAUCCAACCUGCCCCCAACUAGGGAAUAACCUUGCGAAAGUAAGACUAAUACCCUAUAAUUUCCUCAGAUGUCAUCUGACGAGGAAUAAAGAUUUAUCGGUUGUGGAUGGGGAUGCGUCUGAUUAGCUUGUUGGCGGGGUAACGGCCCACCAAGGCAACGAUCAGUAGGGGUUCGGAGAGGAAGGACCCCCACAUUGGAACUGAGACACGGUCCAAACACCUACGGGAGGCAGGAGUGAGGAAUAUUGGUCAAUGGGCGGAAGCCUGAACCAGCCAAGUAGCGUGCACGAUGACGGCCCUAUGGGUUGUAAACUGCUUUUAUACAGGAAUAAAGUUAGCCACGUGUGGUUAUUUGUAGGUACUGUAUGAAUAAGGACCGGCUAAUUCCGUGCCAGCAGCCGCAGUAA
Molecule: ribosomal RNA, 506 nt
Filed under: uncultured bacterium
Lineage: Bacteria
Description: partial 16S ribosomal RNA
Rfam family: Bacterial small subunit ribosomal RNA
Source: RNAcentral